Molecule: non-coding RNA, 7275 nt
Organism: Rattus norvegicus (Norway rat)
Lineage: Eukaryota; Metazoa; Chordata; Mammalia; Rodentia; Muridae
Source: RefSeq, a predicted model, not a curated record
AGCGUCUGGCUCUCACGGAAGGGCUCCACAUGGCUACGUCUGUUGGCUUCCCGUGUGCUCAUUUUAAUGGUCACUUGGAACUGUGUGACCUCAGCAAUCUAAGAACACCCAGGAGGGUCAGUUAGAAGAGAAUGCCUGAGGUGAGUGAACGUCGUCAUAACCAGUUGAGGUAUUUGGUGUAGCUGACGGGCGAUCUAUCUUGUAAUCCAUUAGUUUCAGUUUGCAGGAGCAGGGGAAGUGGCUGGAGCUGGGACCGAGGAGACACUGGAGCUGCAGGGCUGCACUGGAAGACAGUAUCUGCCAGCUCUGACUGGACUUACAUGUCAUGAUGCCUCCCCCAAUUCAAUCUCUUGGGACUUCUGAGGGCCAUACCACACUAUAUCCACAGAGGGUUCAAGGGCAGACACUUGUUGCCUUGUUUGGGGCAUGUGACCACUGGCAGCUUUUGGGCUCACCUGAUUGCCAGACCAGGAACACCUGAAGUGGGCAGCCAUUCUUUUCCACGAAAACCCUGUUCUGUAUUUAGAGCCAUACCCAGGAGGUGGAGAGCUCUCUUAGCCCUUAGCCCCAUUCUCCCUUAGAAUGUAAAGAAUCAGGGUACAGUGCUGAGGUGCUUGGGUGCCGUGAGUGUGCACAGAGACAGCCCUCACUAAUAAGAACAGGCGAUCCCUUAGUUUGUAAAUUAGAGUGAAUUAUAGGGGUAUUGGUGCCGUCUCACGCAGAGUCUUGAAUGCCUGCAGAAACCCCUGAGCUAGCUCAUCCCCAAUCUGCAGAGGAAGAGACUGAGGCUGGAGUAAUUAAAGACCACAGUCUUUGAGAGGUCGGGGCUUCAUUGCUUUCCUCCACUGCUACCUGACUCGGGGUUAGCUUGACCCGCCCACUAAGUUUCUGACCUCACCUGCCUUCUGGUUCAUGAGAGAGAAGGAUAAGGCACACUUCCUGUGCAAGCCUUUACUCCCAGCACUGGAGAGGCAGAGGCAGGUGGAUCUCUGUGAGUUUGAGGCCAUCCUGGUUUAUAUAGUGAGUUCCAGAACAGCUGGGGCUACACGGAAAGAUCCUGUCUUAAAAGCAAACAAGCAAAACCAAAGCCUGUAGCCCUCUCAUCAGCGUUACAGACUGGCAAAGCUUUCUGAAGCAUCCGCCCCCCUUGUGUACCCACAAUAUGCUCUCAUCACCGGAACCUCAUGCUAGCAUAGCUACUUACCUAGGAGCGCCCUUUCAUGCGCUGCACACCCAGCACCCCAGCACUGCUGCAUGCUGCUGAGCCUGAGGGGCAGCUCAGUUAGAAACAGCUUUGAAGCACAAGAAGGGUCGUGUAGCUUAAACAAGAAAAAAGAAUAUUUCUUCUGUGAAAAAAGUGAAACUGGAGCUGGGGUGCGAGUUCCAGCGACUGCUCAAGGACUAGCCAGCCAUCUUUCUGCUCUUGCUCUCUGAUGUGGUCUUGGAGCAAAGGUCAUUCCAUCUUCACUGCAGCCUGAAAGAAACAGCAGGCAGGGUCCACUCCGUAAGACAAAACCAAACGAAGGCUGGAAACCGUACUGGGUGCAUCAAACACGAAAGGGUUAACCCAGGUAGGCUGUGAGCCUCCCUUAUCUGAACCGCUCAGGACCAGGAGUGCUUGGGAGUUUUCCGGAGUUAGACAUAAAUGCAUAGCCUUUCCUGCUUGAGUGCUUGAAAUGCUCCCAGACCUGACGCUGUGCCGACACUCAAAAGGCUUGGCAUUUGGAGGCAUUUUCGACCGUCAGCAGAAGGAUGCUUACCCGUACAUGAAAAAUGGGAUGAGGAAGAGGGCAAGCGUGGGUACCAAAAAACAAAACAAGAUUCAAACGCUUAGGAAGCAGCUGUGAGCCCUGGGCUGAGGGGUAGGAAAUAGAGAUGCUAUAGCUGUAGACAGUGCGUUCAGACCGGAGAGCAGAGCAGGAGACCAUGGCCUUGCUGCUGGCAUGAUAGGGGCUCUCAGGGACUAUUCUAUCUAUACCCACACUCCACAGUCCCCUGGAGGAAAUGUAUGUUUGGAGGCACCCAAUAAGUGUACCACUCAGGAUUCUGCUUCACCAAGAGUGAGGGUUUUCCUCUCUACAGCAGGCUGAGAAACUGCCCUCUUUCCAAUGAAAGAUGCUGUCUUCUCUCAUUUCCUUUUACUGCGCCUGAACACCACAGGCUGAGUAAAGGAACAGGGCUGUGGUGGUUUGAAUACGCUUGGCCCAGGGAGUGGCACUCUUAGGAGGUGUGGCCUUGUUGGAGGAAGUGUGAUACUAUGGGGGUCACCUUGACACAUGGUGGUGUGUCACUUUGAGACCUUCGUCCUAGCUGCCUGGAAGUCAGUCUCUCCUGGUUGCCUUCCCAUCGAGGUGUAGAACUCUCAUCUCCUUCCCCAGCCCCCACAUCUGCCUGUGUGCUGCCAUGCUCCCUGCUGUGAUGAUAAUGGACUGAACCCCUGAAACUGUAAGCCAGGCCCAAUGAAACGUUUGGCUUUUUAAGAGUUGGCAUGGUCAUGGUGUCUCUUCAUAGCAAUGGGAACCCUAACUAAGACAAGAGGUUAAUUAACUGAGUUCUUAGUUUUGGAGGCUGGAAAGCCUAAGAGUGGUACUCAUACCUCUUACGAGUCUGGUGAGCAUGUGAACCGUCACAUGAUGGAAGGCAUCAUAUACUGAGACAGAGAAAGGGGGCUAGCACAGGUAUCUCUUCCUCUUCUGGCAAAGCCACUGGUCCCAUCCUGAGACCCCGACCCUCAUAAAACACCAGAGUUAUCCCCUAAGGGCUCCACGUAUGGAUACAUCAACAAACGAACUUAAAAGGUUAAGUUUCCAAUGCACAAACUUUGGAAACAUUUCCAAACUUCAGCAGACGUGUUCUUAGCAGUCUUGAGUCGGCGGGCUGCAGCAGGUGACGGCUCCAUUUGAUACAGUUAAGACGCCCCAGUCACACAUACUGGGGUCCUGACGUGGAAAUCACAAGUAUGGCUGAUACCCAGGAUUAGCAACUGUCCUCGCUCCGUGACAGAAUACCUGAUGAAAGUGACUCAAGGAAGAAAGAGUCUGUGUGGGCUCACGGUCUGCAUGCACAUCCCAUCAUGGCAGAGAAAGCACGGUGGUGGGAGCACGAGGCAGCUGCUCAUAUUGCCCCACCCCCUGCAAGAAGCAGAGAGAUGCUGGAGCUUAACUCACUUUUCCUUUUAUUCAAUCUGGAACCCCAGCCCACUGCCUACCCACGGUUAGGGUAGAUCUUCUCAUCCCAAGCAGCCCAGCCUAGACACUUCCUCACAUUCAUGGCAAGAAGUCUAUCUUCCAGGUGGUUCUACAUCCUGUCAGGUCGAUAAUCAAUAUUAACUACCAUGGGUCCCUUGAGGCACUGUCUAUUGCUGAUAAGUUUGGGUACAAGAUCCAGGAAUUUCAGCAAACCCAUUAGUUUGCUUAUCUAGACAGUGUUGGAGAGUCCUGCUAUUAAGGUCGCAGUCCCCCAUGACCAGAUGGCUCUCCGAGCUUGGUGCAAAAAUGGAGGACUCCCUUUCUCAGCAUGGCCUACCUUUCUCUGCCUGACUUUGUCUGGAGAGUGUUCCUGAACACAGGUGCCUGGCCUUAUCUGAAGAAUGACCUGAGGCAGAGCUGCUCACAACAGCACACAUCUGGCUUGCUGUCUGCAUGAUAAUUAGGUACUGCAUUAGGACCAACUAGCCCUUUCCACCCGCACCCACUGAAGUCCCUAUAGACCCUAGUCCUGGAACAAUAAAGUUGAGCUGUCUCACGGAAGCUGAUCCCAGAAGUUAAUCCAUCGAUACUCACAGCCAUCUGAACCCACCCCAAUGCCUCUGCCACCUUUGUCCUUGAGGGCCAUGGCCGACAGUGGCUGAGGAGUAGGGAGACCUACAUAGUGGGGCAGAGGAAACUAUGGAUUGCUUCUUAAACGUAACAUCGCAAUCAAGGAAAGCAGACAGAGAAGAGGAGAGAGCUCUUGUGUCUAAGUUUUAAUAGGCAUCCUGGGACAGUUUCUGAAGAUGUGGGCUUCUGACACUCCUUUCUUAGCAUCCACUCAUGCUCUCUGGGAUUUGCCUGGGUCCAAGCCAGGGAUUCUUUCAGAUAAAACACGAGCUUGCUCCACACUUUCACAAAACAAUUCUAACUCAGACGACUGGAAUCACAGUCAGUCUGGAGGGACGGACUCCAGGAAUACGCCCCACACCCACAGAAGGUCAAGGCUCUUACAUAAGCGAUGUCACGUUUGCACGUAGUCCAUCCAGCCCUCCUAUAUAUGUGAACUCAUUUCUAGAUUGUUUAUGAGACCAACAUGAUGUGAGUGUCAUACUUCAUUGCUUACGGUUGGCUUUUUCAGUGUUCCGGUUACGUUUGAGUCAUCAUCCUGUUCCUGUAAGAAAUCCUCUUUCACAUAAACUCACUGGUUCACUGGGGUAGAUGUGGGGGGAAUCAUUACUUUGGUUUAUUGCCAGUCCUUAUCAGGAGUGAACAGACUCUUUUUUUUUUUCAUGUCUCCCAGAAAUCACAGUGGAAAAAAAAAAGAAAGAAAAAGAGAGAAAGGAAGGAAGGAAGGAAGAAAGAAAGAAAGAAAGAAAGAAAGAAAGGAAGAAAGAAAGAGGGAGGGAGGAAGAAAGAGAACAUUCCAAGGGAUUCUGAACAGGCUCCAAGGCAAACCAUCUUCCCUCUCUCUUAAAGAUUGAUUAUAACAAAUUGUGUUUGCUGAAAAUGGCCACUGUGCCAGCUCUAGGUUUGUAGUGAUUUUUCUUAAAUAUUUUUAUUUCCCUUAUUAAGAGCUAGAGUUUGUAUCUUUCCCCUAAACAUGGUGGAGCUGUCAUUGGAUCAGUCGCUGUUGAUAGCUCAUAUGUGACUCCUGGGGUAGAGUUGGGACAGGCAGCACAGCUGUCACCUAGCCCACAGCCUCAGCCUGCUUACUCUGUUGAACAGCAUCUGAGAUGAGUACUAAGAAAGAGGGGAGCUGACAAACAUUUGGUUCAUGUUUCUACAAGAGCAUGCCCUGCUAUUGGCUUGGUUCUGACGGGGACAUAGUGGUAGACGGCACACUGGGCACAUAUGCAAAUGGGAGGGAUGAUGGCGAUAAAGUCGGAGAGUGGCUCAGCAGUGUGGCUUCUGUGUUUAUAACAAGUCCCUGUGGCAAGGACUGAUUCAAGAUUCCACAGACGAGAAACUGCCUUAAUCCCACCAAAGACAGAGCCCCUGUAACCUGAACAAAUCCCACUGGUCUCCACCUCUUAAGAACCACCUCUUCGGGGCUGGAGAGAUGACUCAGCGGUUAAGAGCACUGACUGCUCUUCCAGAGGUCCUGAGUUCAAUUCCCAGCAACCACAGGUAUGGCUCACGACUACAGCCCUUCCUUCCGGUGUGUCUGAGGACAGCGAUACUGGGAUCAAUCUUCCCAUACACAAACCUUUAGAAGGCCAGUGCACAAUCACACGAGGGCUGAGACAAACCAGACCCAUGUGAGGAGACCAACGCAGAGGAGCCUCAGGCACGGGACUAACAAAUCUUCAAAUGGCUGUGGUCCCAGCCUCUGAGUCUCCCUGCUCUGAGGGGUUACACAGCAGAGAUAAACCAUUCUGCUGGGCUUAUUCAAUGCCCAAUCCACAGGAAUCUUUGAAAAUAAGAGACUGCUUUAAACCACUAAGAUCUGAGGUAACGUUGCAUACCCGUAGAAACUGGAACAUUAGGUAAUCGUAAAAGUGUCUGUAUCUACAUUUACACUCCAGCACUAACAACCUAAGAUAAAAAUUACACAUGUGCAUUAAAAAAAAAAAACAAAUACAACACAUUUCAUGUUCUCUUAUUUAAAUGACAUGAUUUGAGAAUUCUGAACAAACAGGAGUUUGUUCACGCACCAUUCCUGAAAUUGCUUUUAAGGGGAAAUUAGCUCUGGCUGAUGACCUUGGUUACUAGGUUGCAAAACAAAAAGAGAAGCAAGUCAUCCACAGCCUAGAAACAAACAAACAAACAAACAGACAAAAAACCUUACAGGUCAUCCAUAGCCCCCUCCCUCCCAAAAAAAAAAAACCAAACUUAAAAUAAUUUCUCAAUCUAGAAAAGUGGUUCUCAACCCAUGGGUCAUGGCCCUUUUGGGGUAGAAUGACUCUUUCAUGGGGAUCACCUAAGACCAUCAGAAAACACAGAUGUUUACAUUAUGAUUCAUAACUAGCAAAAAUACAGUUAUGAAGUAGCAACAAAAAUGAUUUUAUGAUCAGGGUACAACACGAGGAACUCUGUUAAAGGCUCACAGCAUUAGGAAGGUGAGAAGCGCUGCUUUAGAACAAUAUAAUUGAACAAUAUAAUUGAAGAGGGAAAAAGUCAGUGCAACGGUGUUCCUGGUGGAUCUGCAGACACGUUUCAGUGGCAGCAACUUUGACUCCACCUUUCGUUCUUGCUCCCAUCCAUGCAGAACAGGGAACGCUACAGAGAUCAGAGAAAUGAGCAGAGAGCACCGGGAUUACCACUUUUUUGUUUUGAUCUAGUCGAGAUCUGAGGGCGUAAGCUGUCAGGUAAGCUGAACUCCAUGUGGAUCUGACCCUACAGGGAGACAGGAUUUCAACCAUGUGUCAUCCUUCUGUAGGGCACAGGAGACUUGCGUGGCUGCCAUUAGGUGUGAGGGCGUUACCUAAAUCUUAGCAGACAAUCGGAGUCAGGUCUGGGCUGGGAUGCGAGUGUGAGGCAGGACAGAGGGGGCCUGGAGGAGUCUGUAUUCGUUGUGGGGUUACCGGCGGGAAGCGUCUACAGCAGAAGACUAAGGAGCUCCCAAUUGCACAGGUUCUAAGCAUGCAUGUACACCAAUGCCACCCCUUCCCGGCCCAACAGAGAAGGAGCCUCUAACCACGCGCACGCGUGGAAAGAUCCAAGCAACAGAGGACUACAGUCAAAUGCCCCUCACUUCAGAGGGAAAGAAAGACAGGAAACUCCACGGCAGGAUCAAUCGCGCAGAGGUUACUGCCAAUGGGAGCGAGGGGGACGUCCCUGUCCAGGAGCUUCUACAGACGCAAGGCAGAAGCCAACUGCAAUGGGAAGGAGAAGUGGCACAGCCAAAGAAGCCCCACACCGUGGUUUAGGAUCUGAGAUCAAGGCUGAACUAAAACAGCAAGGAAACCAGCCCAGCCACACGACUAGCACUCAGCCACUCGGAGAGGAUCUGCCCCAAAGAAGAGAUAGGUACACAGCCGUGCCAUGCUUACAGUGAACCUUCCCACCCAUGGAGCUGUUCUAUCCUGCGGUCUCACGGGGCCAUCGCUUACAAAGAAUAAAGCUUGAAGGUUGUCAAAGAAAA